CUGCGAAUGGCUCAUUAAAUCAGUUAUCGUUUAUUUGAUAGUACCUUACUACAUGGAUACCUGUGGUAAUUCUAGAGCUAAUACAUGCUGAAAACCUCGACUUCGGAAGGGGUGUAUUUAUUAGAUAAAAAACCAAUGCCCUUCGGGGCUCCUUGGUGAAUCAUAAUAACUUAACGAAUCGCAUGGCCUUGCGCCGGCGAUGGUUCAUUCAAAUUUCUGCCCUAUCAACUUUCGAUGGUAGGAUAGUGGCCUACCAUGGUGGCAACGGGUAACGGGGAAUUAGGGUUCGAUUCCGGAGAGGGAGCCUGAGAAACGGCUACCACAUCCAAGGAAGGCAGCAGGCGCGCAAAUUACCCAAUCCCGACACGGGGAGGUAGUGACAAUAAAUACUGAUACGGGGCUCUUUUGGGUCUCGUAAUUGGAAUGAGUACAAUCUAAAUCCCUUAACGAGGAACAAUUGGAGGGCAAGUCUGGUGCCAGCAGCCGCGGUAAUUCCAGCUCCAAUAGCGUAUAUUAAAGUUGUUGCAGUUAAAAAGCUCGUAGUUGAACCUUGGGUUCGGCCGGCCGGUCCGCCUCACCGCGAGUACUGUCCGGCCGUUCCUUUCCUUCUGGGGAAUCCCAUGGCCUUCACUGGCUGUGGGGGGAACCAGGACUUUUACUGUGAAAAAAUUAGAGUGUUCAAAGCAGGCCUUUG
Molecule: ribosomal RNA, 694 nt
Filed under: Aspergillus sp. CC-FB1
Lineage: Eukaryota; Fungi; Ascomycota; Eurotiomycetes; Eurotiales; Aspergillaceae
Description: SSU rRNA
Rfam family: Eukaryotic small subunit ribosomal RNA
Source: RNAcentral